CGCAAGCUAGCAGAUUUUUUCGGUUUGCUGCUCUUGCCAGUUACGUGUUUCUAGUCAGCUGAACUUUUUGCCUUUCCUUGUGUACAUAAACUGCCGCAAACAUGUGUGGGGGGUUUACGUGCUCCAAGAAUGCUCUCACAGCGCUCAACAUCAUGUAUAUUAUCGUGUCGUUCAUUCUUAUCGGAGUUGCGGCGUACGGCCGCGUGUCGAGCAUCGUCACCAACAUCACCAUCUUCGGGGCAGUGAUCGCCUGCGGAGUGUUCCUGUUGCUCCUAUCGCUCGUCGGCCUCAUCGGGGCCGUGAAGCACCACCAAGUGCUCCUCUUCUUCUACAUGGUGAUCCUGUUCCUGCUGUUUGUGGUCCAGUUCAGCGUGGCCUGUGCCUGCCUGGCCAUGACGGAGGACCAGGAGCGGGAGCUGGCUCGCCAGGGCUGGGAGAAGGCCCCCGCCUCGGCCAAGGGUCAGGCGGAGCGCCUUUUCCGCUGCUGCGGCUUCGAGGACAACGUUACCGACCCCGAGCCCUGCCAGGGGGUCCCCACCUGCUGCGACCCGUCGCAAGAGCUGUCGACCGGGGCAUUGGACGAGUGCAAGUGUAGAGGCUGCUGGUCUGCUUUGCACCAGGCAAUCCGCAACGGGCUCAAGAUCACAGGGGGCAUCGGCAUGUUCUUCAGUUUUACAGAGUUCAUCGGCGUGUGGCUGACUGUGCGUUACCGCAAUCAGAAGGACCCUCGUGCUAACCCUAGCGCCUUUCUGUAACCGACACUAACCUCUUACUAACCUGGCUUGUAAGGGAAACUCUUUCUCAAGAGGCACUUUGUCAGCAAAAGCUUGUAGCCGUGUUCAUAGCGUACCGUUACCGGCGUCAGAGGAACCCCAAGGCGGACCCCUACCUGCUUCUAGGGCUGCACGGGGG
Molecule: unclassified non-coding RNA, 912 nt
Filed under: Ixodes scapularis (black-legged tick)
Lineage: Eukaryota; Metazoa; Arthropoda; Arachnida; Ixodida; Ixodidae
Description: tetraspanin-13, transcript variant X1
Source: RNAcentral